Long non-coding RNA from Cyprinus carpio carpio, 1133 nucleotides. Lineage: Eukaryota; Metazoa; Chordata; Actinopteri; Cypriniformes; Cyprinidae. The record is from Ensembl.
CAUUUUGCCCAGUGCUAUAAAUUUAGCUGAAAGUAGCUUAAGGACAUUGUACUACGUCAUUAUACUUUAGUACUACAUUAUGAACUCUGAAUAUACUGUAUAAGGUCGCAAUUGCCUUCCAGUCUCUUCUGAGAGGCACUAUGUUCUUAGAGGCUACUGAUUUUACCAUGGUAAUAUCAAAGUAAUGUAUCUCUUGUGUCUCUAUGUGGUCUGUUUUCAGAGAAUUUGUUCCCAACUGCAGCCCAUGACAUACAUGACUGUAUGGAAAUUAAUGCAAUUACCCAGCACCAGAGAAAGGUUUCAAAAAGGGGCUUUUACAGCAAAGCAACAGAAGAAUAUUUGGUUCUUCAAAGAACCUUUCAGUGAACAGGUCUUAAAGAAUUCUUAGUGUGAAGAACAUUUUAAUAAUCUAAAGAACACUUUUCCCACUAAAAAUAACCUUUUUGUCCAAUGUCAAGGUUCUGUGGAUAUUAAAGAUUCUACAUGAACCAUAAAUGACUUUUAUUUUUUAAAGAUUACAGGCAGCAUCACUCACAAUUCACAAGUUGUAUGUCAAAAUCCAUGUUGAAGAAGCUAAGCAGAUAUUGAGAACAUUUACAUCAAGCUCUAGCAACAUGGGACAAGUAGUUUCCCAUUGCCGGAUAAAAGCCUUUGACUCCAGUGUCUGAAUAUCAGUGGUGAUAUAUGUGGGUUUGGUAUGUAUGUGGGCGUGCUGCUUUCUGCCCGUCCAUGAAAAAGUGAAUGAUGAAGUUCGGCGGAGUGGAAACCCACACCACUGUUCCACAUCAGAGCAGCUGUUCUUACUUUAACCGAGGAAGAAAAUAUGCUUUUUACAAAAAUAUGGAAUUGGAGGACUGGAGGAUCUGCAUUGCCAUGUGACAGGAAAAGUAAUCUAAUGGAUUUGCUUCAGCAGUGUCAACUUCUCUUGAACUUAAAAAGUCCUGAAGUAUCAUGAUCCCCAUUGUGUUUCAGCACACACUGACCCAAACCUUCUCCAUUAGUGUAAUUACUGUCUGAUAGACAGGAAAACUUCAGCAUGUAUUAAAUUACAGCUCUUGUACAGGUGUGUGCUUUGAAAUACAAGUAGUGUUUUGCCAUUAAUGUUAUUGAAAUAUUUGUUGAAUCAAAAAAAA